AAGACUAUAGACCUGCGGAGUACCUGCGGAGGGAUCAUUACAGAGUUAUCAAACUCCUAAACCCUUUGUUAAUUUACCUAUUUGUUUCUUCGGCAGGUGGUCCCUGGGAGGGUCCUGCAGCCUGUUAAGGUACCUGCCGAAGGUCAUAACUCGGUUUUACAUUAUGUGUCUAAGUCUUACUAUAAAAUAAGUCAAAACUUUCAACAAUGGAUCUCU
Molecule: unclassified non-coding RNA, 216 nt
Filed under: soil metagenome
Description: partial contains 5.8S ribosomal RNA, internal transcribed spacer 2, and large subunit ribosomal RNA
Source: RNAcentral